CUUGCACCCACGUGGUCAGCAGGGCGGGCGCAUCUCAACCAGCGGAGCGCGCAAACUUUCAGCACAAACACUUUGGUCCAUUGUUAGUGAGUGGAACCAGCGUUAGCGCCAACAGACACUAUCAGACACUCUGCUUAGAGCUGUAGGACUACUGCUGGACUAUUUUAUCACCUCUGUGCGCUCUGACAACAGCACCAACUCAUUGGACACCGGUGCGUGCGUCAGGCUCAAACUCAGACUGGGUAUUGUGGGUAAGUUAGUUACGCACCCCAGUUUGUCUAUACGGAGCACCAAAACAAGCAGUUUUCUCAGCUUCCUGCUCACCAAAAAGGACUUAAAAAGCUAACUACAGCAUGGAUGCGAUCGGAGAUUUAUCAAGAGCAAGUCAACAGGAAUGUCGCCGUGGCCCCAAAGCUGCGGUCCAGCGGUGGGUCCCUGGGUUCCCCAUCGCCGUGUGCCUCCUCAUGUCCCUGAGCUCCAUCACCGUGUGUCUGCUGAUGACCUACAAGACCUACGAGCUGGAGAAACGGCUGCACACGGACACGGUGUCCAUCAGUCAACCCGCGCACGGUGCGCUGCUCAACAAGGAUGGGACUCUGGUUUCUAACCUGAGAGUCCCGAUCGAAAAGCUCCUGGAUGAGAGGGUGAUGGGCCUGAUGCCCAAACUGAGGACUGCCAGGGAUGUUUCCCCAGAGUGCUCCUGUCCUCCAGGACCUCCAGGUAAACGUGGACGAAUGGGACGAAGAGGGGAACCCGGUA
RNAcentral lists this long non-coding RNA (759 nucleotides) under Gouania willdenowi (blunt-snouted clingfish). Its description in RNAcentral is "lncRNA (ENSGWIG00000012782.1)". Lineage: Eukaryota; Metazoa; Chordata; Actinopteri; Blenniiformes; Gobiesocidae. The record is from RNAcentral.